Molecule: long non-coding RNA, 819 nt
Organism: Myiozetetes cayanensis
Lineage: Eukaryota; Metazoa; Chordata; Aves; Passeriformes; Tyrannidae
Exons: 4
Source: RefSeq, a predicted model, not a curated record
CCUGACCUUUCAAUUCAAAGAGAAAUAAAUCUGUGGUUAAAGGAGCAGAACUAGUUCCUUAAACCUGAUGGCACAUUUAAGUUUGAUUUGUAACUAGUGAGCUGCUGAUAAUCCUCUACUACAGAGUUCAUAUACUGUAAAGUCCUGAGAGACUGCACCUGUAGGGAUUGGAAUCUAAGAAGUUCAGAAAUGCUGGGUCCCCUGACAGCUGAGAGACAAUGGCCUUGAGUGAACUCCUCUCCUGAACAGCUGGAACCCUGAUGGAGUUUCCAGCACUUGGACUUGUAAACAAAGAUCAGUAACUGAAGCAAAAUGAACCAUGAAACCUAAAUUAUCAGAUUCUGCUCAAGAUUAGGGGGCUCCAGGAUGCAAAAGACGGUGAAGAUCCAAAGCCAGGCCAGUGUUCUACACCAACCCCUGCGUGUGGGCCUCGAGGAGCACCACAACUUUCAGCCAUCUCAGAGGUCCAAACUCCACCUCCCACCCUUACCAAGCAACGUGGCCUCCCCACAGCAGAACCACAAGCUGCACACCCAGGCCAAUGUUCUGUUGUUUUAAGACCUCCAAACAAGCUCUCAGUGAUGAUCAGUUCACACAGGGCAUGUUCAACUGCUCUUCUGACUAUCAAGGCUUAACAAAACCCGGAUCCAUGAGAGACACCUUGAAGUACAGCAGGACGGAGCACAGAACCAGCAGGACGAAGCUGAGCGGCCGCAGCAGCUCCCCGCGCUCCUCUUGCUCGCGCAGAUCUGAAAGGUAAAUGCAAAACCUACAGCUAUCCUCCCUCAGACACCUCACAGACUGUACUGGUGCUUCAAA